UACGGAAGGCAGCAGUGGGGAAUAUUGCACAAUGGGCGCAAGCCUGAUGCAGCCAUGCCGCGUGUAUGAAAAAGGCCUUCGGGUUGUAAAGUACUUUCAGUCGUGAGGAAGGUGUUAAGGUUAAUAACCUUAGCAAUUGACGUUAGCGACAGAAGAAGCACCGGCUAACUCCGUGCCAGCAGCCGCGGUAAUACGGAGGGUGCGAGCGUUAAUCGGAAUUACUGGGCGUAAAGGGCACGCAGGCGGUUAAUUAAGUUGGAUGUGAAAUCCCCGGGCUUAACCUGGGAAUGGCAUUCAAGACUGGUUAGCUAGAGUCUUGUAGAGGGGGUAGAAUUCCAUGUGUAGCGGUGAAUGCGUAGAGAUGUGGAGGAAUACCGGUGGCGAAGGCGGCCCCUGGACAAAGACUGACGCUCAUGUGCGAAGCGUGGGGAGCAAACAGGGAUUAGAUACC
This 451-nucleotide ribosomal RNA is filed under the name uncultured bacterium. Its description in RNAcentral is "bacterial SSU rRNA". It matches the Rfam family "Bacterial small subunit ribosomal RNA", at positions 340 to 786 of the family's 1533-position model. The record is from RNAcentral.